This 309-nucleotide unclassified non-coding RNA is filed under the name plant metagenome. RNAcentral describes it as "partial contains small subunit ribosomal RNA, internal transcribed spacer 1, and 5.8S ribosomal RNA". The record is from RNAcentral.
CCGUAGGUGAACCUGCGGAAGGAUCAUUAUUGAAUACGUUUGGUUCUGAUGCUGGCUCUUCACUGAGCAUGUGCUCGAUCCAUAACUAUUUAUCUUCUCUUGUGCACCUUUUGUAGUCUUUCAGAGCAAGUGAUAACUCUCGCAGCAAUGCGGUUUGGGGGACUUGGGCGUGAGCCCUUCCCCUGCGUUUGCUUCUUUGGAGGGCUAUGUUUUCAUAUACACUAUAAAGUUACAGAAUGUCUUUUAAAGAUUGUGCUAGUCGCAGUCAUUAAACCUAUACAACUUUCAGCAACGGAUCUCUUGGCUCUC